GGCCAUAUCACGGUGAAACACCGGUUCUCCUACGAUCACCGAAGUUAAGCAACGUCAAGCCUGAUCAGUGCUUAGAUGGGUAACCGCUUGGGAAUGCCAGGUGCUGUAAG
Non-coding RNA from Acanthosepion pharaonis, 110 nucleotides. NCBI's taxonomy places the organism in Eukaryota, Metazoa, Mollusca, Cephalopoda, Sepiida, Sepiidae. The record is from the annotation of a GenBank genome assembly.